CAAUAAGCAAAAUAAGGGCGUAUGGGGGAUGCCUAGGCUCUCAGAGGCGAUGAAGGACGUGAUAAGCUGCGAAAAGCUGCGGGGACGGGCACACACCGAUCGAUCCGCAGGUAUCCGAAUGGGGCAACCCAGUGUGCUGAAGGCACAUUACCCGAUAGGGGGCGAACCCGCUGAACUGAAACAUCUAAGUAGGCGGAGGAGAAGAAAACAAAAGUGAUUCCGUGAGUAGUGGCGAGCGAAAGCGGAUUAGCCCAAACCGGAGAUGUUACGGCAUUUCCGGGGUUGUAGGAC
This 291-nucleotide ribosomal RNA is filed under the name Flavobacterium microcysteis. Its description in RNAcentral is "Flavobacterium sp. MaA-Y11 partial 23S ribosomal RNA". It matches the Rfam family "Bacterial large subunit ribosomal RNA", at positions 1 to 306 of the family's 2925-position model. The record is from RNAcentral. Lineage: Bacteria; Pseudomonadati; Bacteroidota; Flavobacteriia; Flavobacteriales; Flavobacteriaceae.